Molecule: long non-coding RNA, 280 nt
Filed under: Elaeis guineensis (African oil palm)
Lineage: Eukaryota; Viridiplantae; Streptophyta; Magnoliopsida; Arecales; Arecaceae
Description: long non-coding RNA (EGUI_LNC033215)
Source: RNAcentral
UCUCGUAUAUUUUUGCUUUCCUACUCUCUUUUCUAAUUUGUAUGUAUGAAUCAAAUCGAGGAUGGUCUAAACCAUCCUUUGUCUGGAAAGAAAAGAAUAAAAAUCCUAAGGUUCAUGUCUCCAUGCUUCCAACGUUGAGAUUCCUUGUUUAUGUCAAGAACAGAGAGAGAGAGAGAGAGAGAGAGAAGAUCAAUACUUUUCUGAUAUUGGACAAGCCAUGCUUCUGAUUUCAACUAUGGUGUUAAAGUUUUGCAGGGCACUCAAAAUUUUUCUUCCUUUC